GAUGAACGCUAGCGAUAGGCUUAACACAUGCAAGUCGAGGGGCAGCACAAGGUAGCUUGCUAUCUGGGUGGCGACCGGCGCACGGGUGCGUAACGCGUAUGCAACUUGCCCUAUACAGGAGGAUAACCCGUCGAAAGACGGACUAAUACUGCGUAUGCUCACAACUUGGCAUCAAGUGGUGAGGAAAGAAAUUCGGUAUAGGAUAGGCAUGCGUCCCAUUAGCUUGUUGGUGAGGUAACGGCUCACCAAGGCAACGAUGGGUAGGGGAACUGAGAGGUUUAUCCCCCACACUGGUACUGAGACACGGACCAGACUCCUACGGGAGGCAGCAGUGAGGAAUAUUGGUCAAUGGGCGCGAGCCUGAACCAGCCAAGUCGCGUGAAGGAUGACUGUCUUAUGGAUUGUAAACUUCUUUUAUACGGGAAUAACAAGAGUCACGUGUGACUCCCUGCAUGUACCGUAUGAAUAAGCAUCGGCUAACUCCGU
Molecule: ribosomal RNA, 486 nt
Filed under: uncultured bacterium
Lineage: Bacteria
Description: partial 16S ribosomal RNA
Rfam family: Bacterial small subunit ribosomal RNA
Source: RNAcentral